This 772-nucleotide long non-coding RNA is filed under the name Mus pahari (shrew mouse). RNAcentral's name for it is "lncRNA (MGP_PahariEiJ_G0002738.1)". Lineage: Eukaryota; Metazoa; Chordata; Mammalia; Rodentia; Muridae. The record is from RNAcentral.
ACCCCAGAGGCUGGAGGUGGGGCGAGUCCUGCAGUGACUACCUUCAGCAUCCAGAGUCACUGGGGUCACAGAUGGAAGUGACAGAGUUGUCUGACACUGGAAACUUAAGGUUUUCCUUCAGCUGUGAAAUCGUGGUCUGUCUGCUCCCUGUGCAGAAAGAAAGGAAGACUCUUACCCCUGGGGACCCCAGAUAUGGAGCCUAUCUGACACUUCGAAGGAAAAAAAAGUCCCAUCUGUCUCCUGCUGGAACAUCUUCUGUGGGUCCUGGAAGGCGUGCAACCCUUCCAGAGAAAGAAGCAGCAGCCAUGGCGCUCUGUGGCUGAGACUGUCUGCUCCCUGAGCAGCUUUGCAGUAGCUGGACAUUUGGAACUUACCUGGGAGGAAGAAAGAAGAGUGUCGGAUCUGGGUCAGCUAGGUGGUCCCAGACACCUCCUUACCCUAGAUCUCUUCAGCUAAGCCUGUAGGUGACUAUCUGUGUCCAGAGCCCACAGUGUACCUCCCUGUGUCCAUUAUACCCUCACCUGUCCCCAGGGAAGGAGGAACGGGUCUUAGAAGGAAGGAAUGAUAGCAAAGCAAAGACAAAGAAAAUGGAUAACCAGAUUCGAUAAACAUGGAUUUUUGUUUUUUGUUUGUUUAAGCAUCAUGUUAGGUGACUGGAGGGACAAUAACUCCACAGAGACAGGGGACUUCCCUUGCGUUAGAGGCUGAAGGAAUGAGUGGUGAGAACUGGGAGGUGACAACAAAGGGAACUGGGGGCUCUCUUGGUGGAAUA